CCCUUAGAUGUUCUGGGCCGCACGCGUGCUACACUGAGUGGAUCAGCGGGUCAGGUUGCGCGAAAGCGUUUCCUAAUCUUUAAAUCCGCUCGUGAUGGGGAUUGACGGUUGCAAUUUUCUGUCAUGAACGAGGAAUACCUUGUAAGCGCGGGUCAUCAUCCCGCGCUGAAUACGUCCCUGCCCUUUGUACACACCGCCCGUCGCUACUACCGAUUGAAUGGUUCAGUGAGAUAAUCGGACAGAUAACUUGGCAACUGGCAACAGUUGACGUGCAUAUUUGGAAGACGAUCAAACUUGGUCAUUUAGAGGAAGUAAAAGUCGUAACA
This 326-nucleotide ribosomal RNA is filed under the name uncultured eukaryote. Its description in RNAcentral is "partial 18S ribosomal RNA". It matches the Rfam family "Eukaryotic small subunit ribosomal RNA", at positions 1470 to 1796 of the family's 1831-position model. The record is from RNAcentral.